RNAcentral lists this ribosomal RNA (253 nucleotides) under uncultured bacterium. RNAcentral describes it as "partial 16S ribosomal RNA". It matches the Rfam family "Bacterial small subunit ribosomal RNA", at positions 524 to 776 of the family's 1533-position model. The record is from RNAcentral.
UACAGAGGUCCCAAGCGUUGUUCGGAUUCACUGGGCGUAAAGGGUGCGUAGGUGGCCAGGUAAGUUCGGUGUGAAAGCUCGGAGCUUAACUCCGAAAUGGCAUUGAAUACUAUCUGGCUAGAGGGUCGGAGGGGAGACUGGAAUUCUCGGUGUAGCAGUGAAAUGCGUAGAUAUCAGGAGGAACACCGAUGGCGAAGGCAGGUCUCUGGGCUGACACUGACGCUCAUGCACGAAAGCGUGGGGAGCAAACAGG